Molecule: ribosomal RNA, 253 nt
Filed under: uncultured bacterium
Lineage: Bacteria
Description: partial 16S ribosomal RNA
Rfam family: Bacterial small subunit ribosomal RNA
Source: RNAcentral
UACGUAGGGUGCGAGCGUUGUCCGGAAUUAUUGGGCGUAAAGAGCUUGUAGGCGGUCUGUCGCGUCUGCUGUGAAAAUCCGGGGCUCAACCCCGGACUUGCAGUGGGUACGGGCAGACUAGAGUGUGGUAGGGGAGACUGGAAUUCCUGGUGUAGCGGUGAAAUGCGUAGAUAUCGGGAGGAACACCAGUGGCGAAGGCGACUACCUGGCCUGUUCUUGACGCUGAGGCGCGAAAGCUAGGGGAGCAAACGGG